AGCGCGGGUGCGAGUCGGAGGGUGCAAGCCCGUGGGCGAAGUGAAAGCGAGUUUUAAAAACUAGCAGUUUGGGGCGGCAUAAGAUCGUUGAUCUUAAGACCGACCCAGAGCAGUUGCGCUGGGACCCGAAAGAUGGUGAACUAUGCCGGAGUAGGGCAAAGCCAGAGGAAACUCUGGUGGAGGCUCGUAGCGGUGCUGACGUGCAAAUCGCUCGUCGAACUUGGGUAUAGGGGCGAAAGACUAAUCGAACCAUCUAGUAGCUGGUUCCCUCCGAAGUUUCUCUCAGGAUAGCGGGCCGACAAGUUGUUUUGUGCGGUAAAGCGAAUGAUUAGCGCAUUUCGGGGGCGUUUAGCCUUCGGGCGAUUCUCAAACUUUCAAUGCGCAAGGGUGCCGCUGCUUAAUUGAGCGGUACCGGUAAAAACGUCGGCCCUGUGGGCCACUUUUGGUAAGCAGAACUGGCGAUACGGGAUGAACCGUAAGCAAGGUUAAGGCGCCAAACUGCCCGCUUAUAGACCCCACAAAAGGUGUUGAUUCAUCGAGACAGCAGGACGGUGGCCAUGGAAGUCGGAAUCCGCCAAGGAGUGUGUAAAAACUCACCUGCCGAAUGAAUUAGCCCUGAAAAUGGAUGGCGCUGAAGCGGGCGGCCGACACCUUGCCGUCUGAAUAAGACUUUCAGAUGAGUAGGAGGGCGUGGCGGCCGUGUCGAAGCGCGCGUGCAGACGCGUGUGGAACAGCCGCUAGUGCAGAUCUUGGUGGUAGUAGCAAGUAUUCAAGCGAGAUCCUUGAAGGGCGAAGUGGGGAAGGGUUUCACGCGAACAUUGAUUGGGCGUGAGUGAGUCGUUCCUAAGCCGAGUGGCAAUUGCUAAUUAACGGCGAAAGGGAAGCGGGUUGACAUUCCCGCACACGGAUGUGGAGGCGGCGACGCAUUAUUGGGGCGAACACGCUGGCGGUGGCGCUGGGCAGAGUUGUCUUUUCUGUUUGACCGCUUGCGCACGCGGUGUGGAAUCCGCUUGUCGGGAGAAACACGCGUGUACGGGCAGAGCGCUGGGGCUUUUCCAGCGUCCAGCUCGCCACCGACGGCCCUUGAAACUUUGCCUGCUG
RNAcentral lists this ribosomal RNA (1101 nucleotides) under Ahnfeltiopsis sp. RNAcentral's name for it is "eukaryotic LSU rRNA". It matches the Rfam family "Eukaryotic large subunit ribosomal RNA", at positions 677 to 1828 of the family's 3401-position model. Lineage: Eukaryota; Rhodophyta; Florideophyceae; Gigartinales; Phyllophoraceae. The record is from RNAcentral.